RNAcentral lists this ribosomal RNA (229 nucleotides) under uncultured Rhodanobacter sp. RNAcentral describes it as "partial 16S ribosomal RNA". It matches the Rfam family "Bacterial small subunit ribosomal RNA", at positions 1155 to 1382 of the family's 1533-position model. The record is from RNAcentral. Lineage: Bacteria; Pseudomonadati; Pseudomonadota; Gammaproteobacteria; Lysobacterales; Rhodanobacteraceae.
ACGAUAGUUGGAGGAAGGUGGGGAUGACGUCAAAUCAGUCAUGCCCCGUACGCCCUGGGCUACACACAUACUACAAUGCAGAGUGCAGACGGAUGCCAAGCCGUGAGGUGGAGCUAAUCCGCGAAGGCUCUGCUCAGUGCAGAUUGCAGGCUGCAACUCGCCUGCAUGAAGGCGGAAUCGCUAGUAACCGUCGGUCAGCAUUACGACGGUGAAUACGUUCCCGGGCCUU